RNAcentral lists this ribosomal RNA (301 nucleotides) under uncultured bacterium. RNAcentral's name for it is "partial 16S ribosomal RNA". It matches the Rfam family "Bacterial small subunit ribosomal RNA", at positions 509 to 807 of the family's 1533-position model. The record is from RNAcentral.
CAGCCGCCACGGUAAUACGUAGGGUGCGAGCGUUAAUCGGAAUUACUGGGCGUAAAGCGUGCGCAGGCGGUUGUGUAAGACAGGUGUGAAAUCCCCGGGCUUAACCUGGGAACUGCGCUUGUGACUGCACAGCUAGAGUAUGGCAGAGGGGGGUGGAAUUCCACGUGUAGCAGUGAAAUGCGUAGAGAUGUGGAGGAACACCGAUGGCGAAGGCAGCCCCCUGGGUCAAUACUGACGCUCAUGCACGAAAGCGUGGGGAGCAAACAGGAUUAGAUACCCCUGUAGUCCCUGUCUCUUAUAC